Paralichthys olivaceus (Japanese flounder) is the source of this 512-nucleotide non-coding RNA. The record is from RefSeq and is a predicted model, not a curated record. NCBI's taxonomy places the organism in Eukaryota, Metazoa, Chordata, Actinopteri, Pleuronectiformes, Paralichthyidae.
CUGCUGACACUGCGACGUGGGAGGAAAGCAGACAAUACUGUAAGAGUAAAGGAGCUGACCUGAUGGUUAUCAACAGUGAACAGGAACUGCUAUCCUUUUACAUUAUGAACCAUCCUAUUUCCGUGUACUGGAUUGGUCUGCAUCUAACAAAUGGGAGCUUCAGAUGGGUGGAUGGAUCUGCACUGACCAAAGAAUCUUGGGAGCCUGGUGGGCUGAGCAAAUCAUACAGCCAGAGCUGUGUGGAGGUGAAUUUCUUCAAGUCAUUGAAGAUCAGCUGGAGGAAUGUCCCUUGUCAAUGGAGGCAGAGGUGGUUGUGUGAGAGAGAUCCAUGUCCCCUUCCAUAGUGUCAGCUGAAGAACAUAAUAUUAUAUGCGUAUACAUGUAAAUAAAUGAAUUUAAACACAGAAGAACAUAUAUGUUUGCAUUCAAAUAGUGGAAUAGAUACUGAUUUAAGCUAAACUAGACAGCUUGUUCUCAGCUUACAAUGGCUUCUUUAUGUUUUAAUUAGUAUG